AGUGAACGCUGGCGGUAGCCCUAACACAUGCAAGUCGAACGGCAGCACAGUAAGAGCUUGCUCUUACGGGUGGCGAGUGGCGGACGGGUGAGGAAUACAUCGGAAUCUACUUUUUCGUGGGGGAUAACGUAGGGAAACUUACGCUAAUACCGCAUACGACCUACGGGUGAAAGCAGGGGAUCUUCGGACCUUGCGCGAUUGAAUGAGCCGAUGUCGGAUUAGCUAGUUGGCGGGGUAAAGGCCCACCAAGGCGACGAUCCGUAGCUGGUCUGGGAGGAUGAUCAGCCACACUGGAACUGAGACACGGUCCAGACUCCUACGGGAGGCAGCAGUGGGGAAUAGUGGACAAUGGGCGCAAGCCUGAUCCAGCCAUACCGCGUGGGUGAAGAAGGCCUUCGGGUUGUAAAGCCCUUUUGUUGGGAAAGAAAAGCAGCAGGUUAAUACCCCGCUGUUCUGACGGUACCCAAAGAAUAAGCACCGGCUAACUUCGUG
This 492-nucleotide ribosomal RNA is filed under the name uncultured bacterium. RNAcentral's name for it is "partial 16S ribosomal RNA". It matches the Rfam family "Bacterial small subunit ribosomal RNA", at positions 29 to 507 of the family's 1533-position model. The record is from RNAcentral.